This is an RNA transcript of Dunckerocampus dactyliophorus (ringed pipefish), 6537 nucleotides long. It is a transcript of the gene named serine/threonine-protein kinase Nek5-like, with no coding region annotated. The transcript is spliced from 22 exons. The record is from RefSeq and is a predicted model, not a curated record. NCBI's taxonomy places the organism in Eukaryota, Metazoa, Chordata, Actinopteri, Syngnathiformes, Syngnathidae.
UUUCCUCUUUAGAGUGCAAGCUUGUUGUAGCGUGAACGCUACCUUCGCGUGCAUUUGUCGCCAUGGCAACGCACUUGGACUAUGUCAGGAAAUGUAUGUUUUACUUAAUUACUUAACCCACUAAUGCAUAAAAAUGUUGUUUAUGACACAGUACAUUCUCAACUUUAAAAAUAAGUUUCGACAUCGAGUUUACGUUAUAUGCUAUUGUAAUGAGUAUAUUAACGCUAUAAGUGCAUGUUAUGAAAUAUGACAACAUAGGAGCUUAUUUCGCAAAACAUGCGCAUAAAAAAGGACAGACUACCGAGAGACGGUGGACAUGGACUAACACGGCACAGCAUAACGCGGCAAUCUACCCGCUGGUGGCUGAGACUUGACAAGAGUGAUGUCGGUCGCCAACAAAUCGGCUGUUAGAGCCGGCUCGCGUAGCCGUUAGCCAAUUGGCAGUCUUUUGUUUUUUUCCUUGUCUUUAUAGUGAGCCGAGCGACAGAACCGGCUCUCAAAAAAGAGCUGACAUUUCCAUCACUACUUGACAAUGGCCAUAAGCACAGUGAAGCCUCUGUGUGUCUACAAUCGGGUACAAUAAUGUUGUUUAACAUUCACGUUCUAGCUGUUAUGAACGACUAUGAAGUUGUGUGUCAGAUCGGAGAGGGCGCCUUCGGGAAAGCCUUCUUGGUGCGACCUAAAGGUGUAGCAGACGCACAAUGUGUAGUGAAACAGAUCAAUCUCACCAAGAUGUCCUCCAGGGAGAAGGAAACCGCCAAGAAGGAGGUGGCCCUCUUGUCCAGCAUGGAACACUCCAACAUUGUCUCCUUCUUGCGCUCCUUCCAAGAAAACGGCAGUGUGUACAUUGUGAUGGAGUACUGUGAUGGAGGAGACCUGAUGAUGAAGAUCAACACUCAGAGAGGAGUCUUCUUCGCUGAACAACAGGUCCUGGACUGGUUCGUUCAGAUCUGCCUUGGCCUUAAACACAUCCAUGACAGGAAGAUCCUGCACAGAGACAUUAAAAGUCAGAACAUCUUCCUCACUGAGCAAGGGAAGAAAGUCAAGCUGGGUGACUUUGGCAUUGCCAGGAUGUUGAAUAACACCAUGGAGCUGGCAAGGACUUGUGUUGGGACCCCACACUACCUCUCUCCUGAGAUCUGUGAGAGUCGACCUUACAACAACAAAACGGACAUCUGGUCUCUGGGCUGCGUCCUCUACGAGCUCUGCACUCUGAGGCAUCCUUUCGAGGGCAGCAGCCUGCGUCAGCUGGUCAGUAAGAUCUGCAGGGGGCGCUACAACCCAGUGGCCAGUCGAUACUCCUAUGACCUUCGCCUGCUCAUCACUCAGCUUUUCAAGGUGAACCCUCGCGAUCGUCCCUCAGUCACGUCCAUCCUUCAGCAUCCUUUCCUGCAGAGACACGUGCACGCUCAAAUGGACGCUCAGGUUGACCUUUAUUUGCAUUUUAUAUUUACCUUCACUUUUUAUUGUGCUAUUUUACAUGUUCUGUAUGCAAAGUCAAUGUGCGUGUGUGUGAGAGAGCAGGACAUCAGUCGCAAUCACAAGGCACCAACGACGACGGCCUGUAGACCACCACCAGACAGGAAGAAGUGCAGAGCUGCUGUGAGGAAACUUCCUGUCAAACCAGCAUGGAGAGGCUGCGCUCCUGCUAACUACGCUGUAAUAACACACACGCCCCCCCCCCUCAGAGCAGCUGGAGACGCCACAUGUCAUCAGAACCAAAAGCAGUACCAGCAGUUCUUUGUCCAACUGGAUGCCUUCCAGGAGGGGGGCGCCUGUCCUCCACAUGCCCCUCCUCCACGUGAGCCCUUUGAAGACCCCCUAGCUCCUCCUGGUGAACCCUACCAGCUGGUGGCAGCAGCUCGUGAGGAGUACCUUCAGAGGCGUCAGGAGGCCAAUCAGUACAAGCUGAGAGCGCAGAAACAGCUGGGUCUGCGUCCGUGCACGGCGGAGGGGGGCCGACCGGCCGGCGGUCAGGAAGAGGAGACGCCACCGCAUGAACGCCAACAACCAGUUCAGGACAGGAAGCAAGAGGGCCAGCAGGAGUACCUGAGGCAGUUGCAUGCUAUCAGACAACAGUAUCAUCAGGACAUGAGGCAGAUGAGGCUGAGAGCCCAAGCUGAGCGUGCCGAUCAGCCACAGCACCAACAUGACACUUUUGUGAUGGACAAACCCGAAGAACCAGAACACAAAGCCCAAGCAGUGCAGGACAUUGAAGCAGCUUUGAAGGACAUCGGGCAGGAGAACAGAAAGCGUAGGAAAGACCUGGAGAAAAAACACAAGGACCAGAAGGCAGUCAUGUUUGAGAUCCGCCUGGAUGGAAAGGAUGGAAUGGAGGACACCUCAGAGGAGGAGAAGGACCAACAGGAAGUGGACCAUCUCAACCAGCAAGUCUGCUUGGGGGAGCAGGAUGAGUUGAAUUUGGCUAGGAGGGGCUGGAGCCAGAGGCCUCCUGAGACACUGCUGGAGGCGCUGGUCCACAUGGACGUGCUCUCCAGCACGAUGCUGGAGGCCCAGCAAGGUGAGGGGGAUGAGGCAGGUCGUCGGCAGUGGGUCCACCGCCCCCCCGAAACCCUACUGGACGCACUAGCUCAAGCUGACCUGGCGUCCUCCGUUAGCACAGACUCUCACAGGAAGGAGGAUGAAGGUGACUCUGACGUGGAGAUGGACGAAGAGCGCCUGGAGCCCAGGUCGGAUGACGACGACACGAACUUUGAGGAGUCUGAGGACGAUCUCAGGGGGGCGGUGUCUGACUCCAUGAGGAACCUGCUUGUCACGGACGACGACGACGACGCUGAGGCAGGGGGCUCAGAGUCUCCUCACAGGAACCGGAACCAAGUGGAAGAAGCACAUGCAGAGACCACUGAUGUGGCAGUCAUGGUGGUUCCCUCCCAGCCUGAAGGAGGCCAUCCUGGAGAGUCCACUUCCACCUCCAACAGUCAGUAACAGACUCUGUUCAUUAGUGUUCAUUGUGAUCCAGCAUUCAAACCCUAAGUCAACUGAAAUGAACAUUUCUACUUGAGUGUCGUUAAAGGGAAAGCAGUAUUAGAUUUUGUCUCCUCACUGCCAACUUUAAACUCCUCACGCUGCAUGAACUGUCAAAUGUCUCUUUUGUCUUCUGCACUUGUGACUGAAGAAGACUUGAUCACUUAAAGCUGCUGACCAGACCAUCACCACCGGCUAGCUUUGAAUGUUUUUGCUAUUACAGGCCGAGCCCGGCCCUUUGAGAAAAAUUGCAUUGUGGGAAGUUGUGUUGUAGUUCUGUGCUUUAGUGUCUCUAUUCCCCCUCUUCUGUCUGCACCACCCUGCGUCCUGAUUGGCUGUAGGCCACUGUCAAUCAACCUCCUUCAUGCCGUCUCUUGAUGCGGUGAUGGUUAGCAAAUCGACCAACCAUGUGACCUGCUUGCUAGCCACCAAUCCUGUAAACAAUAGAAGACACAAAAGAGGCUACACGCGUGUUUUCCCCCGACAAAACACACAAUGUUGUGAUCCAGGAUGGUAUCAGGGUGGGAACAUACAUGGUGUGCACAAUUAUUUGGCAAGUCAGCAUUUUGAGCAUAUUGUCAUUUUUAUGCAUAUUUCCCGACCCUUCGCUGAAAAACGUGAAUGCCUACUGGGUUUAAGCAUACCAGGUGAUGCAUGUCAGUACUGAGGGAGGGUGUGGCCUUUCUUAGGUGUGCACAAUUAUCAGGCAGCUUCUUUUCCUCUGGCAAAAUGGGCCAGAAAAGAGAUUUAACAGACUCUGAAAAGUCAAGAACCGAAAAACGCCGGGACACAGCACUCAUGAAAGCGCCGAACUUGCCAAGAUAUCAGGACGUGGCCACAGAACCAUGAAAUGUUGUGUUGGAAGUACACAAAAGGGUCGCAAGAAACAUGUGGAGAGAAAAACAUGCAAAUGAACUGGCAAAUAUUUGAGAAAAAUGAAAAGUGAAGCUCCCAGGAAGCCAUUAUCCUCCAGUGCUGUCAUAUUCCACAACUGUAAUCUACCUGGGGUGUCCAGAAGUACGCUACACGGUGUUCAGCACUCAGAGACAUGGCCGAGGUAAGAAAGGCUGAACCCCCUCCACCGCUGAACAAGACACACAAGUUGAAAGACUACGACUUGGCCAAGAAAUAUCUGAAGACACAUUUUUCAAAAGUUUUAUGGACUGAUGAGAUGAGAGUGACUCUUAAUGGACCAGAGGGAGGGGCCGUGGCUGCAUCAGCAACGGGGAGAGGGUUCUACUCCAACUCAGACACCAGCAAGGUGGAGGUGGGCUACUGGUAAGGACUGGAAUGAUUAAAAGAUGAGCUUUUUGGGCCUUUUCAGCUUGAAGAUGGACUCAACUCAACUUCCAAACCUACUGCUGCUUUUUUCCCACAGUGGUACAGGAAAAAGUGUGCAUCUUUCAAGGAGACCGUGAGCUUUAUGCAGGACAACGCUCCAUCUCAUGCAUCCAAGUACUCCACUGCGUGGCUAGCUCAUAAAGCUCUUCAAAAAUGAUGACAUGACCUCCUUGCUGACCUGACCUUGACCCUGUUGAGUACUUGUGGGCCCUUAAACGUAAGAUUGACAUUGAAGAACCAAGGUCCACGUCUCUGAACAGUGUCUUGGGAGGCUUUGGUUGCUGCUGCACAAACAAUUGAUGGUGUAAUCAUCAGGAAACUGGCAGACUCCAUGGAUCGAAGGCUUUUUCUGUCUUAUUGAAAAGAAGGGUGGCUAUAUUGGCCACUGAUUUAUUUUGGGAAAUGUCAGAAAUAUUUGUAACAUUUGUGUUGUUUAUAAUUCCCACUUGAAAAAAAUGAAAAUAAAGUAGUGAGAUGGGAAUAUUUUUGUUUGCCUAAUAAUUCCUAAUAAUUGUGCACAGAUAUGAGAUAUUCUCAUCAAAAGCCAAAACCUUGCUUUCUCUUCCUGUAAAGAUUCAAGUUUAUGCACAUGAUUGACAUGAUUGAAAAAGCAGAAAAAAUAAAACGGCAUUCAUAGGGCUGAUGAGACCAGACGAUACACGAGAUUGGGCCUACGAGGACGGGAUGAGAUUUUAAUAUUGCUUUGAAGAAAAGUACAAUGAAGAAAUAUUAAAAACAUGUCAUACAAUGUAUUGCAAUCUACUCUUUUAAUUUCUACUACAUUACACUCUUCUGCACUUUGUGUGUAUGCUACCAGCCCCGCCUCCACCCACCGUCAUAAAGAGACUGUAUGACUGACAAAAGGGCUCACUCGGUUCAUGCCGUUGUUCUAUGGAACAAGCACACCAAGGUGCUGAAAGCAAUGCACAGAGUGAUCUCUCUCCCUGCCUGCCAGGAGGAAUGCGUGCAUAUGGCCAUAUAUCGAGGCUGGCAAAAUCAUCAAUUUAUUUAUUACCGUCCCGGGCCUAGUGCCCACGAGACAUUUUAAUCUUGUCACAUUUUAAUCUCUCGAGAUCUUGUGACACCCCGAGUAUUUAGGUCGGUGUAUAAUUUGGUGCCGAUGCAAAUGAGGGUUGUUGGGCUUGAUUGAGGCCUGUGUUCUUUUCUAUGUGGGUCCUGCUGUCCUUUUAGGUUUGUAUCAUUGAAGACUUCCCUGCCUUGAGGUACUUCCAGACCAUGAAGCCAUCGUUUGGAUGCUCCUGUGCGUACGUGUCAAACGUGAUGGCACGUUAGCGUAGAGGCGAAUCACCUGGAAAAAUGUACUUUUCUCCCCUUCAGUCCUUAGUGGCACAUCAGCUGCUACUGCCGUAAGGAAUAUCCAGACUGGAUACAUUUCAACAGUCUUAACAUCUGAGACUCUAGCAGGCCAUCUUGGUGGUUGCUGAGCAGCUGGCCCAUCCAUUUGGUGGCAGCUUUGGUGAUGACCAGACGGCCGGGCAGGAUGACCCCUAGACCCACUUUGUGUACCACACCGCCCCAGAAAGUGUCACCGUAGUGACGCCAUAAACAAAUGUGACGCUCACGCUGCUCUGGCGGCAAAGACCUCAGCUUGGUGAGGAACUCUUCGAGGUCUUCCAGAGCUUUCUGCAGCUUGGUGACGUCAGCUUGGGUCCUCACAAAGUCCCGAUGUUCUCCUCCCUCAUGUGACUGGUGGUGCCUCACCUCCUCGUCCUGGUUCCUGGAGCGUUCCUCAGCUUGAACCUUGCACAGGUUUUUGUACAGCUGUUUCCAGUGCUCGCACACAAUGCUGUCCAUCAGCUCCGGUUCCUUUUCAUCGAUAGCCUCUGGAUCGUGGCCAGCUUGGCCUCCAGCCCCGACUCCAGCAACCUGAUGUCGGCCUCCGGCUUGAGGCAGUACCACUCCUUCUCCUUGCAGCUGCUACCCAGGUCUGCCAGUCUCAGACCGCAGUCUGCAUUCAUCCCUCUCUCCACCAUGCAUGUGUUUUUUUUCAAUUUUAGCUCAAACAUCACUGAUGACAUCGCUGUGUCACGAUGACAUUCACCUCUGUUACACGUCGGAUUGGAUCCAAAGGGGAAGAUGUCACAGAACUAGUGUGUGAUGUCAUCAGUGAGUGUCGUCAUGCUGAGGGGCGGUGCCAGACCACUGGUGUGAAAGGUACUAGACAUUCCAGGUAUUCCAAUUAUUUACCAG